This 575-nucleotide ribosomal RNA is filed under the name uncultured rumen bacterium. RNAcentral describes it as "bacterial SSU rRNA". It matches the Rfam family "Bacterial small subunit ribosomal RNA", at positions 347 to 916 of the family's 1533-position model. The record is from RNAcentral.
GGCAGCAGCUAAGAAUAUUCCGCAAUGGACGAAAGUCUGACGGAGCGACGCCGCGUGGAUGAUGAAGGCCGGAAGGUUGUAAAAUCCUUUUAUGACUGAGGAAUAAGCAGUGUGAGAGAAACGCAUUGUGGUGACUGUAGGUCAUGAAUAAGCAACGGCUAAUUACGUGCCAGCAGCCGCGGUAACACGUAAGUUGCGAGCGUUGUUCGGAAUUAUUGGGCGUAAAGGGCAUGUAGGCGGUUCUGCAAGUCUGGUGUGAAAUACCGGGGCUCAACCCCGGAACUGCGUUGGAAACUGCAGGACUUGAGUCGCUGAGGGGCAGCCAGAAUUCCAGGUGUAGGGGUGAAAUCUGUAGAUAUCUGGAAGAAUACCAAUGGCGAAGGCAGGCUGCCAGCAGAUGACUGACGCUGAGGUGCGAAGGUGCGGGGAGCAAACAGGAUUAGAUACCCUGGUAGUCCGCACAGUCAACUAUGUACACUAGGUGUCCGCGCAUGAGCGUGGGUGCCGAAGCAAACGCGAUAAGUGUACCGCCUGGGGAGUAUGCCCGCAAGGGUGAAACUCAAAGGAAUUGACGG